Molecule: transfer RNA, 67 nt
Filed under: Barbourion lemaii
Lineage: Eukaryota; Metazoa; Arthropoda; Insecta; Lepidoptera; Sphingidae
Description: tRNA-Leu
Source: RNAcentral
GCUAUUUUGGCAGAAAAAUGUAAUGAUUUUAGAAUUCAUUAAUAUAUAAUUUAUUAUAUAUAUAGUA